GUCCACGCCGUAAACGAUGGAUACUAGCUGUUGGGAGCAAUCUCAGUGGCUAAGCGAAAGUGAUAAGUAUCCCACCUGGGGAGUACGUUCGCAAGAAUGAAACUCAAAGGAAUUGACGGGGGCCCGCACAAGCGGUGGAGCAUGUGGUUUAAUUCGAUGAUACGCGAGGAACCUUACCAAGGCUUAAAUGUAGAUUGACCGAUUUGGAAACAGAUCUUUCGCAAGACAAUUUACAAGGUGCUGCAUGGUUGUCGU
This 255-nucleotide ribosomal RNA is filed under the name uncultured bacterium. Its description in RNAcentral is "partial 16S ribosomal RNA". It matches the Rfam family "Bacterial small subunit ribosomal RNA", at positions 793 to 1055 of the family's 1533-position model. The record is from RNAcentral.